ACGAACGCUGGCGGCAGGCCUAACACAUGCAAGUCGAGCGCGCCCUUCGGGGUGAGCGGCGGACGGGUGAGUAACGCGUGGGAACGUGCCCUUUUCUACGGAAUAGCCUCGGGAAACUGAGAGUAAUACCGUAUACGCCCUUUGGGGGAAAGAUUUAUCGGAAAAGGAUCGGCCCGCGUUGGAUUAGGUAGUUGGUGGGGUAAUGGCCUACCAAGCCGACGAUCCAUAGCUGGUUUGAGAGGAUGAUCAGCCACACUGGGACUGAGACACGGCCCAGACUCCUACGGGAGGUAGCAGUGGGGAAUCUUAGACAAUGGGGGCAACCCUGAUCUAGCCAUGCCGCGUGAGUGAUGAAGGCCUUAGGGUUGUAAAGCUCUUUCAGCUGGGAAGAUAAUGACGGUACCAGCAGAAGAAGCCCCGGCUAACUCCGUG
Molecule: ribosomal RNA, 432 nt
Filed under: uncultured bacterium
Lineage: Bacteria
Description: partial 16S ribosomal RNA
Rfam family: Bacterial small subunit ribosomal RNA
Source: RNAcentral